This 497-nucleotide ribosomal RNA is filed under the name uncultured bacterium. RNAcentral describes it as "partial 16S ribosomal RNA". It matches the Rfam family "Bacterial small subunit ribosomal RNA", at positions 28 to 507 of the family's 1533-position model. The record is from RNAcentral.
GAUGAACGCUGGCGGCGUGCCUAAUACAUGCAAGUCGAGCGAACAGACGAGGAGCUUUCUCCUCUGGCGUUAGCGUCGGACGGGUGAGUAACACGUGGGUAACCUACCUAUAAGACUGGGGUAACUUCGGGAAACCGGAGCUAAUACCGGAUAAUAUAUUCAACCGCAUGGUUCAAUAGUUAAAGACGUUUUUGCUUUCACUUAUAGAUGGAGCCGCGCGGCAUUAGCUAGUUGGUAAGGUAACGGCUUACCAAGGCGACGAUGCGUAGCCGACCUGAGAGGGUGAUCGGCCACACUGGAACUGAGACACGGUCCAGACUCCUACGGGAGGCAGCAGUAGGGAAUCUUGCGCAAUGGGCGCAAGCCUGAUGGAGCAAUGCCGCGUGAGUGAUGAAGGUCUUCGGAUCGUAAAAUUCUGUUAUUAGGGAAGAACAAAUGUGUAAGUAACUAUGCACGUAUUGACGGUACCUAAACAGAAAGCCACGGCUAACUACGUG